Molecule: small nuclear RNA, 107 nt
Organism: Tupaia belangeri (northern tree shrew)
Lineage: Eukaryota; Metazoa; Chordata; Mammalia; Scandentia; Tupaiidae
Source: Ensembl
GUGCUCACUUCUGCAGCACAUAUACUAAAAUUGGAAUGAUACAGAGAAGAUUAGCAUUGCCCCUGUGCAAAAAUGAUACUCAAAUUAGUGAAGCGUUCCGUAUCUUU